GGUACCCCACUAUGCCACGAAGUAAAUAUGAUUUAAUCAAUUCGCCAGAAAAUUACGGGCAUCUCUUUAUUUUUGGCCUAAAACUCAAAAGACUUGACGGUGUCUCACCCCCCUAGAGGAGCCUGUUCCAUAAUCGAUAACCCCCGAUACACCUAACCACCCCUCGAACAUACACCUUUCAGCCUAUAUACCGCCGUCGCCAGCUUACCUUUCAAAAGCAUCACAGUAAGCAAAAUAGUAUUAUACUAAAAAGUCAGGUCAAGGUGUAGCUAACGUGGUGGUGCCAAUGGGCUACAUUAUCUGCCCCAGAUAACAACGAACUAUAACCUGAAAAAAUAUAUGAAGGCGGAUUUAGCAGUAAAUUAAGCAAGAACACUUAAUUUAACCCUGCGCUGAGACAUGUACACACCGCCCGUCACCCNUCCUCAAA
This 430-nucleotide ribosomal RNA is filed under the name Pantepuisaurus rodriguesi. RNAcentral's name for it is "partial 12S ribosomal RNA". It matches the Rfam family "Bacterial small subunit ribosomal RNA", at positions 781 to 1411 of the family's 1533-position model. Lineage: Eukaryota; Metazoa; Chordata; Lepidosauria; Squamata; Gymnophthalmidae. The record is from RNAcentral.